GACGUAGGGCGCGAGCGUUGUCCGGAUUUAUUGGGCGUAAAGAGCUCGUAGGCGGUUUGUCGCGUCUGCCGUGAAAGUCCGGGGCCCAACUCCGGAUCUGCGGUGGGUACGGGCAGACUAGAGUGAUGUAGGGGAGACUGGAAUUCCUGGUGUAGCGGUGAAAUGCGCAGAUAUCAGGAGGAACACCGAGUGGCGAAGGCAGGUCUCUGGGCAUUAACUGACGCUGAGGAGCGAAAGCAUGGGGAGCGAACAGG
RNAcentral lists this ribosomal RNA (254 nucleotides) under uncultured bacterium. RNAcentral's name for it is "partial 16S ribosomal RNA". It matches the Rfam family "Bacterial small subunit ribosomal RNA", at positions 524 to 776 of the family's 1533-position model. The record is from RNAcentral.